GAUGAACGCUGGCGGCGUGCCUAAUACAUGCAAGUCGAGCGAAUGGAUUAAGAGCUUGCUCUUAUGAAGUUAGCGGCGGACGGGUGAGUAACACGUGGGUAACCUGCCCAUAAGACUGGGAUAACUCCGGGAAACCGGGGCUAAUACCGUAUAACAUUUUGAACCGCAUGGUUCGAAAUUGAAAGGCGGCUUCGGCUGUCACUUAUGGAUGGACCCGCGUCGCAUUAGCUAGUUGGUGUGGCAACGGCUCACCAAGGCAACGAUGCGUAGCCGACCUGAGAGGGUGAUCGGCUACACUGGGACUGAGACACGGCCCAGACUCCUACGGGAGGCAGCAGUAGGGAAUCUUCCGCAAUGGACGAAAGUCUGACGGAGCAACGCCGCGUGAGUGAUGAAGGCUUUCGGGUCGUAAAACUCUGUUGUUAGGGAAGAACAAGUGCUAGUUGAAUAAGCUGGCACCUUGACGGUACCUAACCAGAAAGCCACGGCUAACUACGUGCCAGCAGCCGCAGUAA
RNAcentral lists this ribosomal RNA (515 nucleotides) under uncultured bacterium. RNAcentral's name for it is "partial 16S ribosomal RNA". It matches the Rfam family "Bacterial small subunit ribosomal RNA", at positions 28 to 523 of the family's 1533-position model. The record is from RNAcentral.